UCAAGUGUACAAAUUGGCAAUACUGUAUGUCUAUAUAUAGACUGUAUGUCUAUAUAUAUAUAUAUACAUAUAUAGACAUACAGUAUUGCCAAUAGACAUACAGUAUUGCCAAUAUAUACACUCAU
This is a non-coding RNA of Pelobates cultripes (western spadefoot toad), 125 nucleotides long. The record is from the annotation of a GenBank genome assembly. Lineage: Eukaryota; Metazoa; Chordata; Amphibia; Anura; Pelobatidae.